This 638-nucleotide ribosomal RNA is filed under the name Carabus abbreviatus abbreviatus. RNAcentral's name for it is "eukaryotic LSU rRNA". It matches the Rfam family "Eukaryotic large subunit ribosomal RNA", at positions 672 to 1266 of the family's 3401-position model. Lineage: Eukaryota; Metazoa; Arthropoda; Insecta; Coleoptera; Carabidae. The record is from RNAcentral.
AGUCUAGCAUGUGCGCGAGUCAUUGGGACUCAAUAAACCUAAAGGCGCAAUGAAAGUGAAAGUCUGUUUACGCGGACUUAGGGAGGAUAGGUGCGUACACGUUGUGUAUAAUUUCGCACUCCCGGGGCGUCUCGCACUCAUUGCGAGGUGGGGCGCACCAAGAGCGUACACGCUGGGACCCGAAAGAUGGUGAACUAUGCCUGGUCAGGACGAAGUCAGGGGAAACCCUGAUGGAGGUCCGUAGCGAUUCUGACGUGCAAAUCGAUCGUCGGAACUGGGCUUAGGGGCGAAAGACUAAUCGAACCAUCUAGUAGCUGGUUCCCACCGAAGUUUCCCUCAGGAUAGCUGGCACUAGAUUAUGGAUGAGUCUCAUCCGGUAAAGCGAAUGAUUAGAGGCAUUGGGGUCGAAACGGCCUCAACCUAUUCUCAAACUUUAAAUGGGUGAGAUCUCCGGCUUGCUCGAUUUAUGAAGCCGGAGAUCGGAUCAAUUAGUGCCAAGUGGGCCACUUUUGGUAAGCAGAACUGGCGCUGUGGGAUGAACCAAACGCAGAGUUAAAGCGCCAAAAUCGACGCUUAUGGGAUACCAUGAAAGGCGUUGGUAACUUAAGACAGCAGGACGGUGGCCAUGGAAGUCGGAA